This 403-nucleotide ribosomal RNA is filed under the name uncultured bacterium. Its description in RNAcentral is "partial 16S ribosomal RNA". It matches the Rfam family "Bacterial small subunit ribosomal RNA", at positions 28 to 526 of the family's 1533-position model. The record is from RNAcentral.
GACGAACGCUGGCGGCGUGCCUAAUACAUGCAAGUCGAACGCAGUGGGGACGGGUGAGUAACACGUGGGUAACCUCCCAUCAGAGGGGAUAACACUUGGACACAGGUGCUAAACCGAUACUGAUGGAUGGACCAGCGGUGCAUUAGCUAGUUGGUGAGGUAUCGGCUCACCACGGCCACGAUGCCUAGCGGACCUGAGAGGGUGAUAGGCCACCAUGGGACUGAGACACGGCCCAGACUCCUACGGGAGGCAGCAGUAGGGAAUCUUGGGCAAUGGACGAAAGUCUGACCGAGCAACGCCGCGUGAGUGAAGAAGGUUUUCGGAUCGUAAAGCUCUUUUAUUAGAGAAGCGGUAUCUAACCAAAAAGCCACGGCUAACUACGUGCCAGCCGCCGCGGUAAUAC